GAUGAACGCUGGCGGCGUGCCUAAUACAUGCAAGUCGAGCGAACAGAUAAGGAGCUUGCUCCUUUGACGUUAGCGGCGGACGGGUGAGUAACACGUGGAUAACCUACCUAUAAGACUGGGAUAACUUCGGGAAACCGGAGCUAAUACCGGAUAACAUAUUGAACCGCUUGGUUCAAUAGUGAAAGGCGGCUUUGCUGUCACUUAUAGAUGGAUCCGCGCCGUAUUAGCUAGUUGGUAAGGUAACGGCUUACCAAGGCAACGAUACGUAGCCGACCUGAGAGGGUGAUCGGCCACACUGGAACUGAGACACGGUCCAGACUCCUACGGGAGGCAGCAGUAGGGAAUCUUCCGCAAUGGGCGAAAGACUGACGGAGCAACGCCGCGUGAGUGAUGAAGGUCUUCGGAUCGUAAAACUCUGUUAUCAGGGAAGAACAAAUGUGUAAGUAAUUGUGCACAUCUUGACGGUACCUGAUCAGAAAGCAACGGCUAACUACGUG
This 497-nucleotide ribosomal RNA is filed under the name uncultured bacterium. RNAcentral describes it as "partial 16S ribosomal RNA". It matches the Rfam family "Bacterial small subunit ribosomal RNA", at positions 28 to 507 of the family's 1533-position model. The record is from RNAcentral.